RNAcentral lists this ribosomal RNA (520 nucleotides) under uncultured Glomus. RNAcentral describes it as "SSU rRNA". It matches the Rfam family "Eukaryotic small subunit ribosomal RNA", at positions 569 to 1091 of the family's 1831-position model. The record is from RNAcentral. Lineage: Eukaryota; Fungi; Glomeromycota; Glomeromycetes; Glomerales; Glomeraceae.
AGCAGCCGCGGUAAUUCCAGCUCCAAUAGCGUAUAUUAAAGUUGUUGCAGUUAAAAAGCUCGUAGUUGAAUUUCGGGAUCAAUAUAUCGGUCGUGCCUUCGGUACGUACUGGUAUCAUUGGUUUCUCCUUUCUGACGAACCAUGAUGUCAUUAAUUUGGUGUUAUGGGGAGUUAGGACUGUAACUUUGAAAAAAUUAGAGUGUUUAAAGCAGGCUCACGCUUGAAUACAUUAGCAUGGAAUAGUGAAAUAGGACGUUUGAUUCUAUUUUGUUGGUUUCUAGGAUCGACGUAAUGAUUAAUAGGGAUAGUUGGGGGCAUUAGUAUUCAAUUGUCAGAGGUGAAAUUCUUGGAUUUAUUGAAGACUAACUACUGCGAAAGCAUUUGCCAAGGAUGUUUUCAUUAAUCAAGAACGAAAGUUAGGGGAUCGAAGACGAUCAGAUACCGUCGUAGUCUUAACCAUAAACUAUGCCGACUAGGGAUCGGAUGAUGUUAAUUUUUAAUGACUCAUUCGGCGCCUUAA